AUUGAACGCUGGCGGCAGGCCUAACACAUGCAAGUCGAGCGGCUGAAGGGAGCUUGCUCCUGAAUUCAGCGGCGGACGGGUGAGUAAUGCCUAGGAAUCUGCCUGGUAGUGGGGGAUAACGUCCGGAAACGGGCGCUAAUACCGCAUACGUCCUGAGGGAGAAAGUGGGGGAUCUUCGGACCUCACGCUAUCAGAUGAGCCUAGGUCGGAUUAGCUAGUUGGUGGGGUAAAGGCCUACCAAGGCGACGAUCCGUAACUGGUCUGAGAGGAUGAUCAGUCACACUGGAACUGAGACACGGUCCAGACUCCUACGGGAGGCAGCAGUGGGGAAUAUUGGACAAUGGGCGAAAGCCUGAUCCAGCCAUGCCGCGUGUGUGAAGAAGGUCUUCGGAUUUUAAAGCACUUUAAGUUGGGAGGAAGGGCAGUAAGUUAAUACCUUGCUGUUUUGACGUUACCAACAGAAUAAGCACCGGCUAACUUCGUG
Molecule: ribosomal RNA, 484 nt
Filed under: uncultured bacterium
Lineage: Bacteria
Description: partial 16S ribosomal RNA
Rfam family: Bacterial small subunit ribosomal RNA
Source: RNAcentral